RNAcentral lists this long non-coding RNA (316 nucleotides) under Elaeis guineensis (African oil palm). RNAcentral's name for it is "long non-coding RNA (EGUI_LNC061632)". Lineage: Eukaryota; Viridiplantae; Streptophyta; Magnoliopsida; Arecales; Arecaceae. The record is from RNAcentral.
AGUUGCAUCUAAAAAUUUUUCUAUUCAUUUCAUGAUUAAGGAUCAAAUUCUUACUUUAUUAGUAGUAAAAUCAGAGAUCAAAUCUUAAAUUAUUUGAUAUAAACCUUUGGAGGUCUAGAUGUGCAGACCCUCUACUUCGCAUGUAUGUCAGACAUCGCAGGAAAGCAGGAUGAACUCUAAUUCAAUUGCCUUCGCAACACAAUCAAUCGAGGGAUGAGAUGUACUAGUGUGACACCUCACAUCAGUAGGUGGAAUACCCAAGAUGGAUCCAUGCCCAAGGGAAGAGGGGCGGCAACAAGAGGAGAGGGCAAGGGAG